RNAcentral lists this long non-coding RNA (3867 nucleotides) under Sus scrofa (pig). RNAcentral describes it as "lncRNA (ENSSSCG00040075158.1)". The record is from RNAcentral. Lineage: Eukaryota; Metazoa; Chordata; Mammalia; Artiodactyla; Suidae.
UUUGCCUGGUUUCUCUAAUAGUUCAUUUUUAGUGUAUAGAAAUGCAACUUAUUUUCCUAUAUUGAUUUUGUAUCCUGCACCUUUGCUACAUUUGUUUCUUUGUUCUAACAGUAUUUUGGUGGAGUCUUUAGAGUUUUUCUCUGAUAUCCUAUUAUCUCUGCAAACAGAGACUCUUCUACUUUUUUUUCUGAUUUGGAUGUAUAUUUUUACUUUUUCUGGUCUGAUUGCUGUAGAUAGGGCUUCCGAUACUAUUUGAAUAAACAUGGUGAGAGUGUACAUCCUUGUCUUGUUCCCGAUAUUAGAGGAAAAGCUUUUGGCUUUUCACCAUUGAGUAUAAUGCUGGCUGUGGGCUUGUCAUAUAUGGCCUUUAUUAUGUUGAGAUAUGUUCCCGCUCAACCCAUUUUGUUGAGAGUUUUUAUCAUGAAUGGAUGUUGAAUUUUGUAAGAUACUUUUUCUGCACCUGUUGAGAUGAUUAUAUGAUUUUUAGCCUACAUUUUGUUAAGGUGAUGUGUCACAUUUAUUUGUGGAUGUUGCCUCCUUGGAAUAAAUUCCACUUGAUCAUGGUGUAUGUUCCUUUUACUAUGAGUUUGGAGGUAUUCCCUCCUAUUUUUUGGAAGAAUUUGAGAAAGAUUUGUAUUAGUCUUUAAAUAUUUCAUAGAAUGCAUUUGUGAAGCCAUCUGGUUCUGGAUUUUUGUUUGUUGGGAGGUUUUUGAUUACUGAUUCAAUCUCCUUACUAGUAAUUGCUCUGUUCAGAUUUUCUAUUUCUUCAUGAUCCAGUCUUUAUAGGCUAUAUGUUUCUAGGCAGGCAUUCAUUUCUUCUAGGUUGUCCAAUUUGUUAGCACAUAACUGCUCAUUGUAGUCUUUUAUGAUCCUUUUUAUUUCUGUGGCAUCAGCUUUUUUUGGGGGGGGGUGGCACGCAUGCAGCAAAUGGAGGUUCCCAGGACAGGGGUUGAAUAGGAGCUGCAGCUGCCAGUCUACAGAAAAAGACAAAGCCCACAUAAAACAGGUAGGAGAGGUUGAGAUGCAGUCUCACCAAACCCCACCCUGGGUGUAGUUGACAACAACUGGGAGGGAAGUUGUAACUCCCAGCUCCUCCCUCAGGAGUAAAGAGUCUGGAAUACAUAUCUGGUGCCCCAACUUUUAAGACCUCCAUUUGAGAGAUGGCCCCUAAAAAUAUCUAGCUUGAGAGCUCCCUUGUGGCAUAGCGGUUAAGGAUCUGGCAUUGUCACUGCAGUGGCUUGCUGCUGUGGCAUGGGUUUAAUCCCUGGGCCAGCAUAGUCCACUAAACUAGUCUUAUAAGAAAUGUUAAAGGGGCUUCUUUAAGCUGAAACAAAAGGGUGCUAAUUAGUAAAAGAAAACAUCCAAGUCUAAAUCUCUCUGAUAAAGGUAAAUAAAUAGCCAAAUUCAGAAUAAUAAAAUACUGUAAUGGUGGUAGGUUCAUCAUUCAUAAGUCUACCAUGAAGGUUAAAAGACAGAAGUAGUAAGAAUAACUAUAACUACAGUAAUUUGUUAGUGUAUAAAAAAGAUGAAAAGAUGUAAACUGUGACAUCAAAAACAUUAAAUGUGAGAACUAUGUCUAGAUACUUACAUCGCAACAGAACAAUAGAAGGAAAAAAAUGUAUACAUGUUUGUGUAACUUGGUUCCCAUGCUGUACAGUGGAAAAAAUAAAUUAAAAAAAAAGAAUCAGAAACAAAACAAAACAAAACAAAAAAUGUUAAAUGUUGGCAAGGGGAAUAACAAUGCAGAGCUUUAGAAUGCAUUUAAGUUAUCACCUUAAAAUAGACUGUUAGAAUUCUAAGAUGUUUUUAUGUAAAGCUCAUGGUACCCAAAGUAAAAAAACCUAUAGUAGACCCAGAAAAGAUUAAAAAGAAUCUAAGCCCACUGCUAUGGAAAAAUCAUCAAAGCACAAGGAAGAGAGCAAGAGAAGAAGAAAGGGACUGAAUUAUAAAACGGCCAGAAAAUCAAAUGGCAAUAAUAAGUCCACAUCUGUCACUAAAUAAAUGUAAGUAACUGGACUAAAUUCUCCAAUCAAGACAUAGAGCAGCUGGAUGAAUUUAUAAAACAAGACCCAACUCCAUACUACAUACAAGAGACUUUGUCUUUUUCACCCAGUGUAUAGGAAUUGCUCGGCUGGUUUCUGGAUAUUCUUCAGAGGGAAUUGUUCUAUGUGUAGCUGUAGAUUUGGUGGGAGGAGGUGAUUUCAGGAACCUCCCAUAUUGCCUUUUUUUGUAUUUUUAGUGCUGUGCCUGCAACAUAUGGAAGUUCCCAGGCUAGCGGUCAAAGCAGAGCUGCAGCUGCCAGCCUACACCAUGGCCACUGCAACACGGGAUCUGAGCCCUAUCUGUGAUGACACCACAGCUCAUUCCAAUGCCCCAUCCUUAACCCUCUGAGCAAGGCCUGGGAUGGAAUCCAUGUCCUCAUGGAUACUAGCUGAGUUCAUUACUGAUUAAGAACGUGACAGUGUCUGUGAGGAUUCAGGUUUGAUCCCUGGCCUCGCUCAGUGGGUUAAGGAUCUGGCAUUGCCACGAGCAGCAGUGUAGGUUGCAGAUGUGGCUUGGAUCUGCUAUUGCUAUGGCUGUGGCGUAGGUCUGCAGCUGCAGCUCCAAUUUGACCCCUAGCCCAGGAACGUCCAUAUGCCUCAGGUGUAGUAAAACAAAGACAUUAAGAGUAUUUCACUGUAUUGAUGUACUGUAAUUUAAUCUGCUUACCUGUUGAUAGAGAUUUGAGUUGUUUUCAGUUGCCUGUUGUGAUUCAAGCUGUGUGUGUGUGUAGAUAAUAUUUUAAUUUCUCUAGAGCAACUAACCUAAAAGUGGAAGUGCUAGAUCAUAGGGUAAAUACGUACUUUGUUUUGUAAAGAACUACUGAGCAGUUCUCUGAAGUGGCUUCCUUGCUCACCCAAGUGCAUAAGAACUCCAUUUGUUCCACGUACUCGCCAACACUUGAUUUUAGUCAUUUCAACGAGUGGGUUAUGGAACCUCAUUGUGGUUUAAAUUUGUAUUUCUCUGAUCACAUAAAACUGUCCAUUGCCUUUCCAUGUGCUGAUUGGCAAUUUGUUUAUCUUCUUUUGCGAAAUGUCACUUUUAAUUUUUUUUAAUGGAAGAAUAGCUGAUUUACAAUGUUGUGUUCGUUUCAGGUGUACAGCAAAGCAAUUCAGUUACACACACACGUAUAUGUAUGCACGCAUACAUAGUUCAGAUUCUUUUCCCAUAUAAGUUGUUACAAAAUAUUGGGUAUAGUUCUCUGUGCUAUAUGGUGGGACCUUACUGUUUUAUCUAUUUUAUCAUAGUAGUGUAUAUAUGUUACUUUUAAAUUCAAUUUAUUCCUCCCACCUUUCCCCUUUGGUAGCUAUGUUUUCUAUGUCUGGGAGGUCUCUUUAAAUUUUUUUUUGCCAAGAUGUUAAAACUGGGUUAUUUCUAUUGCAGAUUUGUAUUUGUGUGUCAUCCAUAUUUAUGCAUUAUGGAGAUAAAUCCUUUUCUUAGCUACCUCCUCCUGAUUUCUGAUCAAUUCAAUCUAGAGAGCUGUGGUUCUACUUGUGUUAGUAGGCUUAUGAUAAUCCCUUCUCAGUUAGCCAUGCCAAUGAGAAUAUUUAAGAAUAUUUAAGGGAGUUCCCUUUGUGGCUCAGCGGUUAAUGAAUCCCACUAGGACCCACGAGGAUGUGGGUUCAAUCCCUGGCCUCGCUCAGCAGGUUGAGGAUCCAGUGUUGCCGUGAACUGUGGUGUAGGUCACAGAGGCGGCUCAGAUCCCAUGUGGCUGUGGCUAUGGCUGUGGCUGGCCUGGCAGCUGUAGCUCCGAUUUGACCCCUUGCCUGGGAACCUCCAUAUGCUGCGGGUGUGGCCCUAAAAAGCAAAAAAAAGAAAAAAAAAAAA